Molecule: unclassified non-coding RNA, 400 nt
Filed under: soil metagenome
Description: partial contains 5.8S ribosomal RNA, internal transcribed spacer 2, and large subunit ribosomal RNA
Rfam family: 5.8S ribosomal RNA (bases 1-120)
Source: RNAcentral
GAUGAAGAACACAGCGAAAUGCGAUACUUGGUGUGAAUUGCAGAAUCCCGUGAACCAUCGAGUCUUUGAACGCAAGUUGCGCCCGAAGCCUCGGCUAAGGGCACGUCUGCCUGGGCGUCACGCAUCGCGUCUCCCCCAAACCGCCAAGGCGGAGGGGAAGGAAGAUGGCUUCCCGUGCCUCACCCGGGCGCGGUUGGCCUAAAUUUGGAGCCCGCGGCACUUAGCUCUCGCGGCGAUAGGUGGUGAACAAGGCCUUGGCCGUGCAAACAACCCGCUGCGAAGCUCUAUGUCACGUGCGCUCGUCGGACCCUUUGAAGUUGCCUUCGGUGACUUAAAACCUUUGCGACCCCAGGUCAGGCGGGGCUACCCGCUGAAUUUAAGCAUAUCAAUAAGCGGAGGA